UCCAGACUCCUACGGGAGGCAGCAGUGGGGGAUAUUGCACAAUGGGGGGAACCCUGAUGCAGCGACGCCGCGUGGGUGAAGAAGCGCUUCGGCGCGUAAAGCCCUGUCAGCAGGGAAGAAAAUGACGGUACCUGAAGAAGAAGCCCCGGCUAACUACGUGCCAGCAGCCGCGGUAAUACGUAGGGGGCAAGCGUUAUCCGGAUUUACUGGGUGUAAAGGGGGCGCAGACGGCAGCGCAAGCCAGGAGUGAAAGCCCGGGGCCCAACCCCGGGACUGCUCUUGGAACUGCGCGGCUGGAGUGCAGGAGGGGCAGGCGGAAUUCCUGGUGUAGCGGUGAAAUGCGUAGAUAUCAGGAGGAACACCGGCGGCGAAGGCGGCCUGCUGGACCGUGACUGACGUUGAGGCUCGAGAGCGUGGGGAGCAAACAGGAUUAGAUACCCCUGUAC
Molecule: ribosomal RNA, 446 nt
Filed under: uncultured bacterium
Lineage: Bacteria
Description: bacterial SSU rRNA
Rfam family: Bacterial small subunit ribosomal RNA
Source: RNAcentral